UGACAACAUUAGGUUCCACACCUCUUUGAAUCAUUAUUUUGAUUAUAUUCUGUGCAUUUGAAACCAGUCCUUUCUUACAAAGAGUGUUGAUCAAUAUAUUGAAGGUAACAACAUUAGGGAAUAUGUUCCUCCCCACCAUUUCUUUCAACAAGGCCAAAGCUUCCUUGAAAUGGUCUGAAAUGCAAAGACCAUCAAUUAAGGAAGUGUAGGUGACCACAUUAGGCUCUACACCUCUUUGAAUCAUUAUAUUGAAUGUAUUUUGAGCCUCUGAAACCAUUCCAUUCUUACAAAGAGCAUCAAUCAAUACAUUGAAGGUAUAAACAUUUGGUAAUAUGUUCUGCUCCACCAUUUCAUUCAUCAAGGCUAAAGCUUGGUUCUUUUGGCAUAAUUUGCAAACACCAUGAAUUAAACUAGUGUAAGUGAUGACAUUAGGUGAAAUGCCCUUAUUCCUCAUUUGAAAGAAGAGCUCUAAAGCCUCACCAACUAGCUCAUCUUUGCAAAGGGCGUCAAUGAUUGCACAGUAUGUCACAACAUUUGGCUCACAACCUCUAUCAGUCAUUCCCUAUAGUAGCCCAAUAGCCACAUUUGUUUUCCCAAAUUUACACAAUCCGUUUACUAUCACAUUGAAAGUACGAACAUUAGGUUGAUAACCACGUGCAACCAUAUCAUCGAAAAAUUCCACUGCUUUGUCGAUUUUACUCUCUAUACAAAGCCCAUUAAUUAAGGUAGUAAAUGUCACAACGUCAGGCUCCAAUCCGAAUUUGAGCAUCUUACCAAAAACAGAGAAGCCAAAAUCCACAAGGAGUAAAUGGCAGAAGCAAUUAAUUAAGAUGCUAAGAGAAUAAACAUCGUGAGAGAUUCCUAGCAAUUCAAUUGUUUUGGACAUGGAAAGGACAGUGUGAUAUUGUUUCAUUUUCACAAGGGCAGAUAAGAAUCUAUUAAAAUGAACCCUAGAAGGCAGAGGAUUCAUAUGAAUUGCAUGAUUAAAGGAAGCAAUGGCAUCAUGAAGGCGGGUAAAAGAAGCAGAUUUGAAGUUAUUUGUCAAGAAGCGUGCAUCUUCAAGUGUGGAAGUAGAAGAAUGGCAAUAAUUGGUAAAUAAGAAUAGGAAUGGAGAUUGAAUGGUACCAAUUGCCCCUUGUAGCUGAAGAUGGAAGCUCCUGCUCNNNNNNNNNNNNNNNNNNNNNNNNNNNNNNNNNNNNNNNNNNNNNNNNNNNNNNNNNNNNNNNNNNNNNNNNNNNNNNNNNNNNNNNNNNNNNNNNNNNNNNNNNNNNNNNNNNNNNNNNNNNNNNNNNNNNNNNNNNNNNNNNNNNNNNNNNNNNNNNNNNNNNNNNNNNNNNNNNNNNNNNNNNNNNNNNNNNNNNNNNNNNNNNNNNNNNNNNNNNNNNNNNNNNNNNNNNNNNNNNNNNNNNNNNNNNNNNNNNNNNNNNNNNNNNNNNNNNNNNNNNNNNNNNNNNNNNNNNNNNAUUAUUUAAUAACAAAUUAAAUUUAUCAUUUUAUAAUAAAUAAUUUUGUAAAUAUAAAUGCAAUUAAGUCUCACUUUUAUUGAAGAGUUAAAUAAUUUUAAUUUAAAAUUUUGGAUAAAUUAAAUCUCUAUAUUAUUACUCAAAAAUUAAAUAAAUCAUAAUUUAACAUAAUAUUAUUUUUUAAUAAUAAAAAUUUUUAUAUGAUAAAACUUUAUUUAUAUAAUUUUAAAAAUUAUUUAUUAUAUUCAUAUAUAUUUUAAAAUUUUUAAUUUUAAUUAAAAUACUAAAGUUUUAAUGUUUUAAAUUAUAAAAAUAAUAUUUUAUCAUUAAAAAAUAAUAUUAAGUUAGAAUCUAUUUAGCCUUUAAUAAAAUUACAUAGUUUAAUUAGCUUAAAAUUUUAAAAAUUUUAAAUUGAAUUUAUGUGACUCUUAAUAAAAAUAUAGAGAUUUAAUUAAAUUUAUUUUCAUAAAAAUAAUAUUUUAUUAUAACCGUACCUUAUAUUUAAUUGAAUUUAUUUAAAAUUAAUUAAUUUUGUUAAUUUUAUUUUUUAAAAUAAAAUAUUAUAAAUAUAAUUGUAGAAUAUUAAUUUUUUAUUUUAUUAAAUAAUAUUCCUUAUUUAAUAAAUAAUUAUCAAUGUAUAUUUUUAAAAAUAUUAUUAUAGUCUAAUUGUAUAUAAUAUAGACGAGGAAAAAAUAAAUAGUUUAUUGUUUAAUUUUACUCUAAUUUUAUUUUAGUAUAAUAAAAAUUAAUUUUUUUACAAAGCUUAACUCUCAUGAGAACUGUUUGGCACAUUUUUAUUUUGACAUUUUAUUUGAAUAAUAUUACAAUUUUAAUUAAAAUCAGUAAAAAAUUAAUAUACAAAGUUAUUUCAAAAUAAUAAAAUUUUGAAAUGUUAAACUCACUAAAUAUAUUUUGCAUUUUAAAUUUUAUUUGUUAUUUUAUUUUAUUAUUAAUAAUAUUAACGUAAAUUUAUAAUAUGUAAAUUAUUUCUAUGCAUUUAAUAUAUAGUAUAUUGUAUUAUAAAUUAUAAGAAUAAUAUUUUUAAAGUAUGAAUAUAUUUUUGUACAGAAUUUCAUAAAAAUUAAAUUAUAAACAUUUUAUUUAUAAGAUUACAUAAUAAAUGUUAAAUUAGAAAAUUAAAUUACUGUGUGAAUCUAAUCAUAAAAAUAUAAAAUUAUCAAAAAUUUAAUAUUUUUAUUAAAUGUUUAUUGCUAAAAAUUAUAAUUAUUUUUUUAACUAUAUACUUCUUAUACCUAUUUUAUAUCAGUCAAACAAUCCUAUGCAUUCCAAUAAUAGACAUCAUUCCAAAGUGUUAUAACAGAAAAAAUCAUCUUGCAUGAAUAACAGUUUCAACCAAAGGAGAAAUACAACAUCAUGAAUGUUUCUUCAAUUUUAGCUUCAAAAGUCUUAAGAGUUUAAAAGACGUCUUAUUGUAAAGAUAUGAAUCAACAACUUUUUAAUUUGUAUUGAUAAUGCAGUGAUUUUUUCAUUGGCAAUCCAAUAAAAGUCCGUUGGUAAAUGAAUUAACAAUGGAUUACUAACAGAUUACGAUCCGUUGUUAAAAAAUUUGGUAGUAAAUUUUUACCAACGACUUUUAAAUUCGUUAGUAAUACUAGUGGAUUUAUUAACGAAAUUUUCGUUAUUAUUACCAACAGAUUUUAAAUUACUAACAAAUUUUAAAUUCAUUAGUAUAAAAGAAAAAUAAUUUAUUAAUAGACAUGAAAUCCAUUAGUAAAUUAUCUAUGAAUUGCAAUUCAUUAGUAAAUUUAUUGAGAGUUUAAAUAAUUUUUUAUUAAUUUAAUAAGAUUUAAAAUUAUAUUAUUAUUGUUAUUAAGUUUUUAAUUUGUAUCCAAUAUUUAUUAGAAAUACAUAGACAGUGAAAAUUAAAAAAAAAGAGUAAAUGGUACAAAAUGAGAGAAAAUAAUAAAAAAGAGAAAAAUAAAGAAAAUGAUAGAAAAAUAAAAAUUAUGAAAAAGAAGAAAGAAUGAGAGUUGAGUAAAAAGAUAAUUAGAGAAAUAAAAAAAUGAAUAAAUGAUUAGAGAAGAAAAUAAAUAAAGAUAAAAUAAUAGAAAAAAUUUAGAUAGAAAGAAAAUGACAGAAGAAAAUAAUAUUAAAUAAUUAAUAUGAAUGAAAAUUAUAAAGAAAAUGAAGAAGAUAAGAGGAAAGGAAAUAAAAAGAUGGAAAAGAAAAUGGUGAAAAUGAUGGGAAAAUUCUGAAAAAUGAAAAAGAGUAAUAGAAGAGGGAAGAGAACGAGAGAAAAUAGGAUAAGAGAUGAAAGAAAAAUAAUUGAAAAAAAUUAUGAGAUAAAAAAGUGAAAUAAAAGAAAGAAAUAGAAAAUGAAAGAAAAUGAGAGAAAGGAAAAAAAUGGAAGAAAGGCAUAUGAUAAGACGAAUGAAUGAUAAAAGCAGAGAAGUUGGUGUUAUAUUUAUAAACUUAAUUAUUAGUAAAUUUGCAAUUCGUUACUAAAUUUUGAAAAAAAAAAGUAACUUUUUUCUUUCUAAAAAUUACCAAUGGAUUUGAAAUCUGUUAGCAAAUCCGUUAAUUGAAAAAUGUGAGUUGUAAAAAAAAAAGAAAGAAUUUUAUGUAGGAUUUUAUUUUAAAUUUAUCAACAGAUUUACUAGCAGAUAGCAUUUGUUGAUAAAUUUAAUAUUUUUUUACUUAUUAAUUUAAUGAUAAAGUUAAGUAACGAAAUUUUAAAUUUGUUAGUAAUUUUUUGGUAAUUUGGAUUUAGAGUUUAUUAGUAAUUUAAACACUUUUAAAAAUUUAUUUAGAGUGUAAACUAAUUGUUUUGAAGAGUUCAAAUUUAGUCCGUUAAAAUUUUUUUAAGUUUGAGCCGAACUCGAGUUUUGCUUAUUUCAAACUCGAACAUAGUAUUAAUAAGUUUAAACUUGACUCUUUUAGCAAAUGAACUUAGACUAACCAAGUUUUUAUCGAGUUUAAUCUCAAAUAAUUCACCAAUAAUUUAAUUUAUUUAUAUGUAUAAUGAAUUUUAGUUUAAAACUAAAUAAGUAUAUAUAUUGAAACGGCUCGACCCAAACUGACCCAAAUAAUUUUUAGAAAGUGCCCACUUUCUACUUGUAGUUUCAUUUUCCGUAUUCUAUUGAUGUGGGACGUCUUCCUACAUUAAGCAAGCAGAACAGUUCGGCCCAAACUGACUCAAAUAACUUUUGACCUACUUUCCACUCGGCCCAAAAUGAUUAAUCCAAGUUAUUUAUUAGUUUAGUGGUUAGCUAUUAUAUACGAUUUUGAUUUUCCAUACUCUGCCGAUGGGGACGUCCCACAUCAAGUAAAAAGCUGACCUUCACAUAUACAAAUUAGCUCAUAAACUUAUAAGAUGAACUCUUAACGAUCCAAAUAUAUGCAAGUUUUAAUAGUAUAAUUGCACAAUAUAGAAUUAAACUUUAUAAAAUUUAAAUUUGACUCAUAAAAAUAUAUGUAAGAUUUGAAUUUAUUUACCUUAUGUUAUUAAUCUCAGCCUACUUAACGAAACUAUUUACAAGUCUAUUCGCGAAUCUGCUCAUGAAUUCAAAUGCGAGCCACGUUCAUAAGCCUUAACGAGACGAAUAUUGUGGAGUUUAAAUUUGCCUCGUUUACUAAACAAACCUAAAAAUUAAAUUUGAAUUUGACUCGUUUAGAAAUUGAGUUGAGAUUAAUCAUCGAGUCGAAUAUCGAAUAGUUCACAAACAGUUUGUUUCAUUUACACCCCUAAAUUUACUAAUAGAUUAAAAUUGUUAAUGAUUUACUAACAAAUUUUAAGUCUAAUAGUAAAUUUCAACAUUAAUUAUUUUAUAAAUUUAUAAAUUCUCAAUAAAUUUUUAAAUCUGUUAAUAAUACCAAUGAAUUAUCAAUGGAUUUAAAAUUUGUUGAUAAAUUUUUAUAUAAUUUUUUAUACUAAAAAUUACUGAAAGAUUUUUAAAUUCGUUAAUAAAUCUAUUAAAAUUAUGUAUUGAUAAAUAAAUUACUAAUAGAGUAUAUUUAUAAAAUUUGUUUGUAAAAUGUGCUGAUAAAAAUAUCACAACUAUAACUUUUUCUUUUAGCAUGUUCCCACUAUCUCGCUUAAACCAUUAAAACGAUGUAUUACAUGAUACUGAGAUUUUGUAGCAUAGAAAAAUAUAUCAGAUUGCUAACAAGAAACUUCCUUUUAUAUUUAGUUUUGUAUAAGUAGCUCUAAAAGUGACUCUAUUUCUCUGCAACCAAAUUUAACACUUUCACAAAUAAAAUAUUUUUUCAUCUCUUUAUUAGUUGUUUAUAUAUUAUUAUUAUUAUUAUUAUUAUUAUUAUUAUUAUUAUUAUUAUUAUUAUUAUUGCAAAUAGGCAAUUAAAUUUGUGCUCCUAUUAUCUUAAUAUCAUAUUAUUAUAUGAAUAUAUUUAAUCAAAGUUAUCCAAAAAAAAUUAUAAUAAAAUAAAAUUAAAAAAAUAUAUCAUUUUAGUUGAUUUUUUUAUUGUAAUUGAAAUAUUCAAAUUUUUAUUGUAUUUAUUAAUAUCUGUUAUUUAAUAAAAUUAUUAUUAACAUAUUUUUUAAAAAAAAAUUAUUAUAGUCGAAUUAUAUAUAUAUAUAUAUAUUUAUAUCAAUCAUAAAUGUAUUAAUUAUUUUAUAAUUUUUUAAUUAUACGAGUAAAUUACGUAUUAGUAAUAUAAUAUAUAUUUAUAUAUUAGUUUCAUAUAUUUUUUAAUUAAAAUUAUAUAAUUAAUAACUACAUAAAAUAUUCUUAUCGAGAGUAGUUGUAUAUAAUAUAUAUAUAUAUUACUACAGUUAUUAUUUAAAUAUUAAUAUUAUUAUUUUAAUAUUAAUUAUUUACUAUUUUAAAAUAUACAUAAAAAGCUAUUAUGAUUUUAUUUGUAAAAAUUAAAAUUUAAAUUGAAAUGAAACUAAAAUUAAAGUAAAAAAAAUUAAAAUUAAAUUGAGACUGUACUGAAAUUACUUAGAACCGUAUCAAAACUAUACUGAAAGUUAGUUUCAAAGUGGUUCUAAACAUUAAAGUAUUCAAAAUUUGAUUUGAUUCUAGUUCUUAGCAACAACUAUAAUUUUUUCUUUAUAUUAAAAACUAUAAUUUUUCUUUUAUAUUAAAAUAUUAAAAAUUUAAUUUGAUUCUGAUUUUUAGUAAAAACUAUAAUUUUUCCUUUUAGGAUACUAUCUAGCUUGAACUAAUUAAGUAGUAUAUUUCUUAAUGAUGUAUUGUAUGAUAUUGAGAUUUUAUAGCAUAGACAAAUAUAUCUAAUUACAAACCUUAAUAUAAGUAAAUUAUUAAAACAUAUAAUAGUUUUAAUAAAAUAUUUAAUCUAUUAAAAUUUUAAUAUUAUAUUUGUUAAUAGAACAUAAAUUAAAUUAAAAUAGUAAAUUAAUAGAACAAAUCAAAUUAAAAUAUUUUAAACAAUAUAUAAUUGUAUAAUUUUUUAAUCCAUUCAAAUAUUAUAUUAUAAAUUAAUUAAAUAAAUUAUAUUAAUAAAAAUAAAUUAUAAAUUUUACAAUGUAAUUAUUAGUAUUUAUAAAUAAUAACGGGGUCUGAAAGUUAAAAAAAAGAGUAAAUAUUUAUUUUUUAAUUAAAUUUAUAUGGAAAUGGAUAUUUUUAAAAAUUUGUUUACAAAAUUGAUUUUAUUUUUUUCUUUUUAAAAACUAUUUAACAUCAACACAUCUAGGUUAGCUGCUAAAUUUAAUAGUCUGCUAAAGGAGAAUUUGAGAGCAACAUUACCAACCGAUCGUCUAUCAUUCCAAGAUUUUAUUUUCAUCUCAUUCCCCACAGCAAAUUUGAUAUGAUUAAAAGGAGAGAAGAAAGAUCUAAAUUUAAUUUUGUAAAGUAAACAACAACUGAUAUAGAUUCUUGGGUUCUGAAUCAUUUUGCAAUCAGUUUCCUACCUCUCAAUAUGUACCCUGUCAAACCCACCUUCUCUAACAAACCAUUUCCCAUGGAUGCAGAAUCAAAAAAACUUCAAGAAAGAUGCAUCAAGCAAAAAGAAAAAGGAUAUUACAAGGUUUAGAAAGUGGUAAAAACACAAAAUGUCUCAUUAUAUACUGCUGAAAGGAGAAAAGAAACAACCAAAAAAAAAUUGUAAUGGAGAUGGUGGGUUUACCAGCAACUUGAUGAUUAGAAAUCCAUGACCUCCAUUCAUCAACAAUCUUAUAUCAAAGAGAUCUAGUCCAUGUCUGAAUUCAAGCGAAAGGCACACACAUAUCAUGGUUUCCACCAAAGGUCAUUUGCGGUGUUAGAAAAUUUCAUUUUGUGAAAGAGAAUCACAGCUGAUUGAAAUUAAAAAUGAUAUUUGAAAAAGUUAGUUAAAUUACAUAUCUAUUAUAUUUGAAAAAGGUAAUUACCAAGUUGCGCUCCAAGACACACUUGAAUGGUCAAGAUAUAACAACUUUAGUUUGCUGAUCGCUCAUUGCGCACCUUUAAAAGCCUCAGAAUGAGAUCAUUAUUCCGCGAUAAAUGUACUACCAAUUCGGUGGUAGCAUCAUCAGCAGAGAACCCCUUAUCAACCAUUUCGUUGAUUAGUUCUGAUGCUUUUGGUAAAUCCUCAUGCUUGAGAAACCCUUGAAUGAUGAUAUUAUAACACCAAUUAUUCGGUAAACAUCCUCCCUUUUCCAUGUCUCUAAAAAUCUUAUACGCUUCAUCCAUUAAUCCUUGUUGGCAGAGCCCUUUCAUAAUUGCAUUAUAUACACAAAUAUCAGGCUGUAAACCAAUUUCAAAAAGACUAGAAAACAGUUCCUUGGCAUCAUUAAUCUUCCCAACUUUGCACAUACCAUUGAUCAGAAUGCUAUAGAUCACAAAAUUAGGCUUCAACUGACUUUUCUCCAUUGCUUUCAAUAGUGUGAGUGCUUCAUCGAGAUUCCCUUGUCUACACAAGCCAUCAAUCAUAAUUGAGAAGGUUACUAUAUCUGGCUGUUGACCAUGAGAGCACAUAUCCUUAAAGAGCUCUUUUACAUUUUGGGGCCUCCCCGCUUGAAACAUACCCUUUAUAAGAAUAGAAUAAGUAACAACAUCAAGAACUAAACCUUUAUGAGACAUUUCAUCAAAAAGCUCCUUUGCAUCAUCUAUCAUUUUGCACUUACAAUAUCCAUUGAUCAAAAUGCUGUAGCUAAAAAUGUUAGCUAUUUCAUUGGUCACCAUCAGAUCAAAUAGCUUUCUAGCCUUAUCAAUUUGCUUGCACAGACAAUAUCCAUCCAUCAAUGAAUUAUAAGUGACAACAUCAGGUUCCACACCUCUUUGAAUCAUUAUUUUGAUUAUAUUCUGUGCAAUUGAAACCAGUCCUUUCUUACAAAGAGUGUCGAUCAAUAUAUUGAAGGUAAAAACAUUAGGGGAUAUGUUCCUCCCCACCAUUUCUUUCAACAAGGCCAAAGCUUCCUUGAAUUGGUCUGAAAUGCAAAGACCAUCAAUUAAGGAAUUGUAGGUGACCACAUCAGGCUCUACACCUCUUUGAAUCAUUACAUUGAAUGUAUUUCGAGCCUCUGAAACCAUUCCAUCCUUACAAAGAGCAUCAAUCAAUACAUUGAAGGUAUAAACAUUUGGUAAUAUGUUGUGCUCCACCAUUUCAUUCAUCAAGGCCAAAGCUUGGUUCUUUUGGCCUAAUUUGCAAACACCAUGAAUUAAACUAUUGUAAGUGAUGACAUCAGGUGAAAUGCCCUUAUUCCUCAUUUGAGAGAAGAGCUCUAAAGCCUCACCAACUAGCUCAUCCUUGCAAAGGGCGUCAAUGAUUGCACUGUAUGUCACAACAUUUGGCUCACAACCUCUAUCAGUCAUUCCCUUUAGUAGCCCGAUAGCCACAUUUGUUUUCCCAAAUUUACAAAUUCCGUUUACUAUCAUAUUGAAAGUACGAACAUCAG
RNAcentral lists this long non-coding RNA (9279 nucleotides) under Manihot esculenta (cassava). Its description in RNAcentral is "long non-coding RNA (MESC_LNC001665)". Lineage: Eukaryota; Viridiplantae; Streptophyta; Magnoliopsida; Malpighiales; Euphorbiaceae. The record is from RNAcentral.